This 322-nucleotide ribosomal RNA is filed under the name uncultured Acinetobacter sp. Its description in RNAcentral is "bacterial SSU rRNA". It matches the Rfam family "Bacterial small subunit ribosomal RNA", at positions 1057 to 1382 of the family's 1533-position model. Lineage: Bacteria; Pseudomonadati; Pseudomonadota; Gammaproteobacteria; Moraxellales; Moraxellaceae. The record is from RNAcentral.
AGCUCGUGUCGUGACGAUGUGGUUAAGUCCGCAACAGCGCAACCCUUUCCUUAUUUGCCAGCGGGUUAAGCCGGGAACUUUAAGGAUACUGCCAGUGACAAACUGGAGGAAGGCGGGGACGACGUCAAGUCAUCAUGGCCCUUACGACCAGGGCUACACACGUGCUACAAUGGUCGGUACAAAGGGUUGCUACCUAGCGAUAGGAUGCUAAUCUCAAAAAGCCGAUCGUAGUCCGGAUUGGAGUCUGCAACUCGACUCCAUGAAGUCGGAAUCGCUAGUAAUCGCGGAUCAGAAUGCCGCGGUGAAUACGUUCCCGGGCCUU